RNAcentral lists this long non-coding RNA (263 nucleotides) under Homo sapiens (human). Its description in RNAcentral is "non-protein coding lnc-LYZL2-10:1". Lineage: Eukaryota; Metazoa; Chordata; Mammalia; Primates; Hominidae. The record is from RNAcentral.
GACUUCCAACAGGAGUUAAGAAGCCACACUAGCAAGAUGGAGGAAUGGGGGCUCACAGCCUUAUCUAAUCUCCAAAUGAAGAAUGGGCCCAUCUGACAUAUCCUAUGAGCACAAAGCUUAGGGGACUCUUCACCGAAACCUAGACAAAUAUUUGAAUGCAUUUUUUUUUUUUUUUUUUGGAAAGGGAGAUAACGUCCAAUGGGUCUGUUUUAUAAUGCAUUUGUGUAAGGGGAACGGGAGGAAAUGAGAUUUAAAAAUAAAAC